Molecule: unclassified non-coding RNA, 288 nt
Filed under: Hevea brasiliensis (rubber tree)
Lineage: Eukaryota; Viridiplantae; Streptophyta; Magnoliopsida; Malpighiales; Euphorbiaceae
Source: RNAcentral
GGAAUUUUUGUGUAUUUUUAAAGCCUUAAUUUUGCCCGUGUGUCUAACAUGAGGACCCCGGCAGAGAUCUAUCAAAGGGCCACAUCUAUAGACUGUGGUAGUUGGAGUAUUCACCUUUUCAUUCAAUAUCCGGCAUUUGAACUUGUUGUACUUAAACAUUGCCAGUAAAGUUUCUUUCUUAACUUCCAGUCUUUCAAAAGCUUGUUUUUCUUUAAUGAUUUUCUUACACAAAGCCUCCAGAGAAGAGAAAUCAUUGCUAGACACACCCCCUUCUUCGAGGUACAUGUC